GAUCGUGAGUUGGGAAGUCAACAUAUGUCUCCAACUUGUUCUUCAGAAACCGGUUGUACGAGAACCUCUUCAGGUGGAUGACCAGAAUCUCCGGCAGUCUCCAAAGAUCCAACUUUUUAGUAGCUUGGCGAUGCUGCUUGCAUGCAGGGCAAUACCUAAUGUUGGAUAUAAGACAAAGAAAGUUAGGCAGAUUAUAUUCAUACCUCCCAAGCGAAUGACACAAAUCAAGAUCAUGAGUUGGGAAGUCAACAUAUGUCUCCAACUUGUUCUUCAGAAACCGGUUGUACGAGAACCUCUUCAGGUGGAUGACCAGAAUCUUCGGCAGCCUCCAAAGAUCCAACUUUUUAGUAGCUUGGCGAUGCUGCUUGCAUGCAGGGCAAUACCUAAUGUUGGAUAUAAGACAAAGAAAGUUAGGCAGAUUAUAUUCAUACCUCCCAAGCGAAUGACACAAAUAAAUGAUU
Molecule: long non-coding RNA, 461 nt
Filed under: Nicotiana benthamiana
Lineage: Eukaryota; Viridiplantae; Streptophyta; Magnoliopsida; Solanales; Solanaceae
Description: long non-coding RNA (NBEN_LNC035859)
Source: RNAcentral